Long non-coding RNA from Nematostella vectensis (starlet sea anemone), 489 nucleotides. RefSeq lists it as uncharacterized. The record is from RefSeq and is a predicted model, not a curated record. The transcript is spliced from 2 exons. Lineage: Eukaryota; Metazoa; Cnidaria; Anthozoa; Actiniaria; Edwardsiidae.
ACUAUUAAAAGUAUUUAACGGGGCGUUUUACUCCACAUAAGCUCCAAGCAAGCGAGAGACGACGAUAAAGAGGAUCACAGUACAAGAUGAAAGGCAUAAUGUUGAUAGCCAUCGCCAUGGCAGUGCUCGUGUCCAUCAGCGAUGCAGGAGUCCAGAGAAAGAAACGUGAAUCGGACGCAUGCUACUUGCAGUGUGAAGAUUUGAAAUCCAAAUGCAAAUUGCCCUGCACCACUGACGCCUGCAGAUCUGAUUGUGACCUAAAAUACAGCUAUUAUCAAUGCCAAGGACCUUGCUAUAAUACGGGUGUACCCCCUCCAGAGGAGGAGCCUCUUUUUUAACUCGUUCUUAUAUAUAAACCAUUAUACAUAUAGUUUGACCUCUCCACUAAAGGGAUUGGAAAGAAACAUUCGGAGAAGAAUCAUUCUGUUCCCAAGAGUUGAUGUAAAAGAGUAAAUAUAAAAUGAAAGUAAAUUCAUCAUGAUGGCUUUG